UAUAAAGACGCGACUUCAUCACGUUCAACGGGAGGGUAGUUUAAAACAACAAACAAAAGAAUUCUCCUGCAACAAGGUCACAGAGCAGCUCUCGGUGGCUGAUAUUCGCCAGCGUUAUCGCCUCUAUCGCUUGUGCUGCCUGUCCCAAAAAUAACCUCAGCUGUCAGAGCCCGUCUCUGUCUUCAUGGCCAUUUGUAGAAGCGAGACGGACGGAGGCUGUUCGAUAAGGGCUGCGUUUCCCGCAAGCUCCCCCGCUUUGAACUAAUAAAAUCAUAUUCAAAACGUGUCAGAGGUUCCGUUACUGAUUAGCGCGUUUGCGGAGAUGCGCAAGUUUAGCGCAGCGUUAAGUGGCGCAAAGGGAUCAGCGGCCGUUUUGAAGGUAACAAGCCAAUUAACGGGAAGUGACACGGGAACCUGCAGUGUUGCGGGCUUUCCCCCCCAGGACCAGUGACUGACAGCAGCAGGUCGCCUGGACCCUGAUUUAAACCCUCCGAAACUCUAGCAGACGGGCGACUUGAAGGUUGUGGGAACAACCUUCCACCUGAAGGACACAACCGGCUCACAGCAGCAGGCUGUGCUUUUAGCUCAUCUAAAAGCCUUCAAGUGUACAUUCAACACUAUCUGAGGAACACGGUCUCACAGCUGCCCCCUCGCAGCCAUUUCAAGAAUAAGGUCAUGGCUGUAUCAUGUUCACAGUGGACACACGUGGGCGUCACCUCAACUGGACA
Betta splendens (Siamese fighting fish) is the source of this 728-nucleotide long non-coding RNA. RefSeq lists it as uncharacterized. NCBI's taxonomy places the organism in Eukaryota, Metazoa, Chordata, Actinopteri, Anabantiformes, Osphronemidae. The record is from RefSeq and is a predicted model, not a curated record. The transcript is spliced from 3 exons.